This is a long non-coding RNA of Microplitis mediator, 1303 nucleotides long. RefSeq lists it as uncharacterized. NCBI's taxonomy places the organism in Eukaryota, Metazoa, Arthropoda, Insecta, Hymenoptera, Braconidae. The record is from RefSeq and is a predicted model, not a curated record. The transcript is spliced from 3 exons.
AGCAUGUUGGGUGUUAGGUUCGAAUCCUCCGUAGAGUAGUGGUGAAAAUCCAACUCUCAGAGAAAAGAGCAAGAACAUAAACUCUUACUCGUUUGCAAGCGAUAACUCAAAUCGAUCACGAAUCAUUGGAAAAUGGGGAGGACAUUACAAGAGCGACUCGAUCUGAUAAUGUGGAACAAAACAUGAAAAUUAAAAAAUCUUGGCAAUUGUACAAUACUAAUGCAUUGGAUAUUCCACAUUUUUUGGCCUGCGCCAGCAAUGUCUUAAAGGCUUUUCGUGGUCAUUUAAUUGAUAAUGCUGAAUAUGAUGAAUGGGAUCAGAAUAAUGGAGCAGAUGUUGACGCUAGUAAUAUUUACGACGAUUAUGACAAUCUCUUAAUAUUUUUAGAGAUGGACAUUAUGGAAAUACUGUAACUAACUGAUUAUUAUAUGCAAUUAUAAUAGAUGAGUGGAUUUUUAACGAUCGGUUUUAAAAUAAAAUUUAAUUAACAGUUAAUUAUUGAAAAUGAAACUGUAACGGGGUGACCUGGUGUUCGACUGCCAGAUCAGCAAAAAUUAAAUUUCGCGCCUUUUAAUUUGCGCACCAGCCUUUGCGUCGAAUUUGGUUUAACGGUGCGACGGUAGGGGUAGGUUGGACACCUCGUCGUCAGACGACAAAACCAAAAAUUAAUUCUCACCAACUAGCCGAACUGAGCGGUCGCUCAAGAUUUCUUUUGUGCUGUUUUGUUUCCAACGUUAUAACAAAGUCUUUAUUCAGGCAGACGCCAUAAAUUAUAAGUACAGUUUUUCUAAGAGUCGUUACAACAACGUUCCACCUCGAAUUACACCAGAAGGAGGAUCCUGUCGAUUUACGUUUGAGAUGACUACUACGGCUUAACACCUAGGACAAGUCGAUGUAAGUUCCUUGGAAUAAAGGUUUUGGGAAUUUUGUAAUAUUACAGUUUGUCAAACACGUGGAGGAGAUUUCCUCAUUAACUUUAUCGUCUUUCUCUAAAUUCUUUCAUUGAAUUUAUUCAAGUUAUUUCUAUCUCUGUGCAUGCGGGAAAUUUAUUACCGGUUAAUUUUAAUUGUCAGAAUUUUUUCCUCGAGUUAAAAUUAAAUUAAAGCUCGUUAAUUAUUGUCGUGAUAAAUUUUAUUGAGAAAAUUCAUAUUAAUAAAGUUGGGACUUGUAUCCCGGUUGAACGGAAGCGGCGCAUGCGCAGUAAAAUUAUAUCGCGAAACUUUUAAUCAUUAAUUAUUAAUUAUAAAUAAAUUUAGCAUUAAGUGUAUAUAUUAAACAAUUAAUUAUUUAUUUAUAAUAAAAG